RNAcentral lists this ribosomal RNA (253 nucleotides) under uncultured bacterium. RNAcentral's name for it is "partial 16S ribosomal RNA". It matches the Rfam family "Bacterial small subunit ribosomal RNA", at positions 524 to 776 of the family's 1533-position model. The record is from RNAcentral.
UACGAAGGGGGCGAGCGUUGUUCGGAAUUACUGGGCGUAAAGCGCACGUAGGCGGAUUUGUUAGUCAAGGGUGAAAUGCCGGGGCUCAACCUCGGAAUUGCAUUUGAUACUGCAAGUCUCGAGUCCGGAAGAGGUGAGUGGAAUUCCUGGUGUAGAGGUGAAAUUCGUAGAUAUUAGGAAGAACACCAGUGGCGAAGGCGGCUCACUGGUCCGGUACUGACGCUGAGGUGCGAAAGAGUGGGGAGCAAACAGG